RNAcentral lists this ribosomal RNA (253 nucleotides) under uncultured bacterium. RNAcentral describes it as "partial 16S ribosomal RNA". It matches the Rfam family "Bacterial small subunit ribosomal RNA", at positions 524 to 776 of the family's 1533-position model. The record is from RNAcentral.
UACGUAGGGUGCAAGCGUUGUUCGGAAUUACUGGGCGUAAAGCGCACGCAGGUGGCUGAGUCAGUCGAUUGUGAAAGCCCUGGGCUUAACCUGGGAAUUGCAGUCGAUACUACUUAGCUAGAGUAUGGGAGAGGACAGUGGAAUUCCCGGUGUAGCGGUGAAAUGCGUAGAUAUGGGGAGGAACAUCAGUGGCGAAGGCGGCUGUCUGGACCAAUACUGACGCUGAGGUGCGAAAGCGUGGGGAGCAAACAGG